GAAAAGGGGGUCCCUGGGUGGGACGUUCUGCUGCUCAGCUAGCUCACCAGACGGGGGUUCUGGGGCCCCGAAGUUGGGGCGGGACCUGAAGGACUCAGAAGGGCGAGGAGAAGCGGCGCGAGUAAGACAAACAGGUGGAUUUUUGUCACUUACGACUAAGAUUCCUGACUAAAGCAGCCUUAUACGUCCAGACUCUUUCUGAGUCCCUCUCUGCCUACUUCUUCACCCUCAUCUGGACCACUACACCCAGCUCCACACUCCAGAUACUGGAUUGUAUAGGUGUUGAGGAUACAGUGAUCAAAGCACCCAGCUCUUAAGGAGGUCACGGUUUGGCAGCAAAGACUUACUCCACAAUGUGGUGGCCGCUCGGGUAGAGGUGUGAACGAGAUGCUAUGAGGAGGGGAAGUCCACAUGCUUAGAACCGAGCUCUACUUCAAGUUUAAUUCCAGCUCGGCAGAGUCCUCUGAGUACAACCACCGGUGUCAAAGAGAGCUGGACCUCCCUCCCUCGUGUCUCCAUCACACACCAGAAAGAAAGGCGGUUGGGGAGAGAACGGGCCAGAACCAUGCACACAGACGCACAGAUCUACAAGCGUCAGCCCUGAGGCAAAAUGGUGACCCGGCAAAGUUCUGCUGGGUCACUCCCAUUGUCCCUGAUGACAUUAUGUUAGUGCGACUCUUGGGCACUGCUGAGUGUACUCCCUGUGCGAACACGCCCUCGUUCAGCCACGCCACUGCUGUGGGAUUUGCGGUGUUUCCUGUUUUGAAUUAUUAAAAAUACUACUGCCACGAACGUACUUGUUCAUGUUUUCAGUGUACAAAAACAUGCAUUUGUUGGGUUCAUAACUAAAUCACAUACAUUUUUAUUUUUUUAAAAGAGCACCCAGGGCACCUGGG
This is a long non-coding RNA of Ailuropoda melanoleuca (giant panda), 896 nucleotides long. RefSeq lists it as uncharacterized. The transcript has 5 exons. The record is from RefSeq and is a predicted model, not a curated record. Lineage: Eukaryota; Metazoa; Chordata; Mammalia; Carnivora; Ursidae.